GCUAUCACUUUUGGAUGGUCCCGCGGCGUAUUAGCUAGAUGGUGGGGUAACGGCUCACCAUGGCAAUGAUACGUAGCCGACCUGAGAGGGUAAUCGGCCACAUUGGGACUGAGACACGGCCCAAACUCCUACGGGAGGCAGCAGUAGGGAAUCUUCCACAAUGGACGAAAGUCUGAUGGAGCAACGCCGCGUGAGUGAAGAAGGGUUUCGGCUCGUAAAACUCUGUUGUUAAAGAAGAACAUAUCUGAGAGUAACUGUUCAGGUAUUGACGGUAUUUAACCAGAAAGCCACGGCUAACUACGUGCCAGCAGCCGCGGUAAUACGUAGGUGGCAAGCGUUGUCCGGAUUUAUUGGGCGUAAAGCGAGCGCAGGCGGUUUUUUAAGUCUGAUGUGAAAGCCUUCGGCUCAACCGAAGAAGUGCAUCGGAAACUGGGAAACUUGAGUGCAGAAGAGGACAGUGGAACUCCAUGUGUAGCGGUGAAAUGCGUAGAUAUAUGGAAGAACACCAGUGGCGAAGGCGGCUGUCUGGUCUGUAACUGACGCUGAGGCUCGAAAGUAUGGGUAGCAAACAGGAUUAGAUACCCUGGUAGUCCAUACCGUAAACGAUGAAUGCUAAGUGUUGGAGGGUUUCCGCCCUUCAGUGCUGCAGCUAACGCAUUAAGCAUUCCGCCUGGGGAGUACGGCCGCAAGGCUGAAACUCAAAGGAAUUGGACGGGGGCCCGCCACAAGCGGUGGAAGCAGGUGGUUUAAUUUCGAAGCUACCCGAAAGAACCUUAACCAGGUCUUGGACUUACUAUGCAAAUUCUAAAAAAUUAAGACUUUCCCUUUCGGGGACAUGGGAUACCGGGGGGUGCAAGGGUUGUCCCCCACCUCCGUCCCUGAGAAAUUGGGGUUAAAUUCCCCCAACCGAGGGCAACCCUUUAUUAUAAGUU
RNAcentral lists this ribosomal RNA (932 nucleotides) under Lactiplantibacillus plantarum. RNAcentral's name for it is "bacterial SSU rRNA". It matches the Rfam family "Bacterial small subunit ribosomal RNA", at positions 211 to 1116 of the family's 1533-position model. Lineage: Bacteria; Bacillati; Bacillota; Bacilli; Lactobacillales; Lactobacillaceae. The record is from RNAcentral.